RNAcentral lists this non-coding RNA (30 nucleotides) under Rattus norvegicus (Norway rat). The record is from RNAcentral. Lineage: Eukaryota; Metazoa; Chordata; Mammalia; Rodentia; Muridae.
UGAAAGAGUGUUCGGAUUCUUAUCUGCUUU